RNAcentral lists this ribosomal RNA (1222 nucleotides) under metagenome. RNAcentral describes it as "bacterial LSU rRNA". It matches the Rfam family "Bacterial large subunit ribosomal RNA", at positions 1665 to 2876 of the family's 2925-position model. The record is from RNAcentral.
CUGCCCUAUGAGUAUUCUAAGGCGCUUGAGAGAACUCAGGAGAAGGAACUCGGCAAAUUGACACCGUAACUUCGGAAGAAGGUGUGCCUUUAGUAGGUGAACCAUUUACUUGGGGAGCCCAAUGAGGCUGCAAAAAAUCGGUGGCUGCAACUGUUUAUUAAAAACACAGCACUCUGCUAAGACGAAAGUCGACGUAUAGGGUGUGACGCCUGCCCGGUGCUGGAAGAUUAAAUGAUGGGGUGCAAGCUCUUGAUUGAAGUCCCAGUAAACGGCGGCCGUAACAAUAACGGUCCUAAGGUAGCGAAAUUCCUUGUCGGGUAAGUUCCGACCUGCACGAAUGGCGUAAUGAUGGCCACACUGUCUCCUCCUGAGACUCAGCGAAGUUGAAAUGUUUGUGAUGAUGCAAUCUCCCCGCGGAAAGACGGAAAGACCCCAUGAACCUUUACUGUAGCUUUGUAUUGGACUUUGAACAGAUCUGUGUAGGAUAGGUGGGAGGCUUUGAAGUGUGGUCGCUAGAUCGCAUGGAGCCAACGUUGAAAUACCACCCUGGUGUGUUUGAGGUUCUAACCUAGGUCCAUUAUCUGGAUCGGGGACAGUGCAUGGUAGGCAGUUUGACUGGGGCGGUCUCCUCCCAAAGUGUAACGGAGGAGUUCGAAGGUACGCUAGGUACGGUCGGACAUCGUGCUAAUAGUGCAAUGGCAUAAGCGUGCUUAACUGCGAGACUGACAAGUCGAGCAGAUGCGAAAGCAGGACAUAGUGAUCCGGUGGUUCUGUAUGGAAGGGCCAUCGCUCAACGGAUAAAAGGUACUCUGGGGAUAACAGGCUGAUACCGCCCAAGAGUUCAUAUCGACGGCGGUGUUUGGCACCUCGAUGUCGGCUCAUCUCAUCCUGGGGCUGUAGCCGGUCCCAAGGGUAUGGCUGUUCGCCAUUUAAAGAGGUACGUGAGCUGGGUUUAAAACGUCGUGAGACAGUUUGGUCCCUAUCUUCCGUGGGCGCUGCAGAUUUGAGGAAGCCUGCUCCUAGUACGAGAGGACCGGAGUGGACGAACCUCUGGUGUAUCGGUUGUCACGCCAGUGGCAUUGCCGAGUAGCUAAGUUCGGAAGAGAUAACCGCUGAAAGCAUCUAAGCGGGAAACUCGUUUCAAGAUUAGAUCUGCCGGGGCCUUGAGCCCCCUAAAGAGUCGUUCAAGACCAGGACGUUGAUAGGUCAGGUGUGGAAGCCA